This 94-nucleotide long non-coding RNA is filed under the name Strigops habroptila (Kakapo). RNAcentral describes it as "lncRNA (ENSSHBG00005019484.1)". The record is from RNAcentral. Lineage: Eukaryota; Metazoa; Chordata; Aves; Psittaciformes; Psittacidae.
UGAUCUUUAGAUCUCACAUGAUGUCCGAAGAAUACAAGCUACAAAAGGAUCAGCACCUCAAGGAAUUCUAAGGCAUUACAAGGCCAGUGUGUGC